This 1891-nucleotide long non-coding RNA is filed under the name Musa acuminata (dwarf banana). RNAcentral describes it as "long non-coding RNA (MACU_LNC004473)". The record is from RNAcentral. Lineage: Eukaryota; Viridiplantae; Streptophyta; Magnoliopsida; Zingiberales; Musaceae.
GGAGGAGGGCUCACCGGAGCUGGAGUCGACAUAGUGAGACCUGCAGCAUCUACGCUUUUUGUGGGCAAAAGGCGCCAUCCCUGUCGACCUCGCAACUGGUACCACCUCUUACCCACUUACAGCGGCUCAAUCCUGUUGCUUGGGUUGCCCAUGGAGGAUUCCAGCCUCUGGCUGGUCCCCGACCACCCACCUUCUCCCUUAAUAGUAGUGCCACAUCCGACCACCCACCCUCUCCCUUAAUAGUAAUGCCACAUCAGGCCCUUCGGUCCCUGUUCCUCCGAUCUAAGGUUACUGGUACAAACUACAUUGCAGGCAGAACCUUCCGAAUACCCAAAGGGUGUUGUGCUUGGGAAGGUGGAACCGGCAAUGGCGGACACUGUUGCCUGUGAGGGAGGUUUACACAAGGUGUGGGUCAAGUUUCUCAUCUUGUUGCUUGUUUGGAGAGAAGGUGGUCAACGAAUGACUCCUCCUAGUGGGGGUGGGGGUGGUGGGGGGGGGGGGAGGGAAGCCCAUGAUGUGCCAUGAACACCAGGUAGCUCUCUCCAAAGCUGGGCCAUGCUGUGCUGCAAUAAUGGAAGGUCCCGAUAGAACAACCCAAGGAAGAAAUCAACAGUGUUCUUUCUUUCUUUUAUUCCCAAAAGAAUCAGUAAAUAAGACAUCAUUUCAUGUCAUAUAAUAUAGACUUUACACAUAAUUGGCUGACCAAUUAAGGUUUCGUAGUUUGGUGAGGGAAUUCAAUUGGGACUGUGUUUUGGAGUCUGAUUGUGGUGGAACCAACCUUUGGCCUAUCCGCCAUCAUUUUGCUCUUCUAGACUUUACAAAAGGGAAGCUUCUUUUCCUGCUUGGAUUAAUGGACAAAAUAAUCAUCGUUCCUAAAGGUCAGCAGUGUCUAGUUUACGAAGCUAAAGAUGUUACAUUCUGCCCAGUUUUCUGUGACGAAACAUUGUAUCAUAAGCUAUCGAUUACCGUAACAGUAAGAAGAAGAAGAAGAACGAAAGAAGAAGAAGAUAUGACCUCCGUUUAGCCAGAGAAGAAGCGGCUUCUUCUCCACAUCGUGAGUGGCCUCAAAGAACCAGUAGAAGAGCGCGCGGCCGUGGCUCUCGUUGACCGUCACGUACCCGGCGUACUGGCGGAAGCUCACCGGCGGCUGACCGGGGAGCCCGACCACGCGGUCGGCCUCCUGUUGUCGCAAGGCCUCGCGGUCCAAUUCCCUCGACCUGCCACCGCGAACCAAAGAGCAGGAGAAGAGAAGGACGAGGAGGAAAGAAGCGGAGGAGAUGGAGAAGAGUCGCAUUGUGUCAAACACCUAGCGAGCGAUGGGUGUUUGUGCGUGCAUGGGUCCGAUACUUAUAGUGCUUCCAUCUCCCCCCUCCCCACCCUUUUCCUUGUGUGGGUGAUACCACAAGAAAAAGGAAAGGAAUUCUGGUAAUAAUACUGGAGAAAGCUGGCGGGAAGUCAUCGGCUCAGGCUCGGCUCUCUCCUCCGUGUUCUGUUUUUGUGUUUGUUUGGGAUCGGAAGAAAGCUUUCUUGGCGAGGAUUGCGCCAACCAUGGCGUGUGUCGCGGCACGGCAGAGAACGACUUUUCCGUUGCAUCUGUGUAUGCGUUGUCUUGGUGUUGUUGCUGCUUACUGCUGGUGUUAUAGCGACGUCAACGGAGGUGGAUCCCAUCACCCGCUGCGGGCACAGCAAGGAGACAAACGGCAGGCGAUGCCACCGAUGCAGAAGCCGGCAGGACAUGGAGGUGUGAUUAGUCUUUGGCACUGACGUCAGAAUUAUUAUUACCAUUUCUUGCUGGGCAAAGAAUACAUGAAAGAGAGAACUCUCGGUUCAUCACUUGAAUAGGUUUGUCUUAAUGACACGUAAGUUUUUAUGAUUUCUUAUUAUUUCCCUU